CAUGGGUUCUCGUACGAUCACAAAAGUUAAGCAAAUUGGAGCCUGGCCAGUAUCUAGAUGGGUGACCGCUCGGAAAUACCAGGUGCUGUAAG
Molecule: non-coding RNA, 92 nt
Organism: Acanthosepion pharaonis
Lineage: Eukaryota; Metazoa; Mollusca; Cephalopoda; Sepiida; Sepiidae
Source: the annotation of a GenBank genome assembly